RNAcentral lists this ribosomal RNA (460 nucleotides) under uncultured bacterium. RNAcentral's name for it is "partial 16S ribosomal RNA". It matches the Rfam family "Bacterial small subunit ribosomal RNA", at positions 338 to 795 of the family's 1533-position model. The record is from RNAcentral.
CCUACGGGAGGCAGCAGUGAGGAAUAUUGGUCAAUGGGCGCGAGCCUGAACCAGCCAAGUAGCGUGAAGGAUGACUGCCCUACGGGUCGUAAACUUCUUUUAUAAAGGAAUAAAGUGAGGCACGUGUGCCUUUUUGUAUGUACUUUAUGAAUAAGGAUCGGCUAACUCCGUGCCAGCAGCCGCGGUAAUACGGAGGAUCCAAGCGUUAUCCGGAUUUAUUGGGUUUAAAGGGAGCGUAGAUGGGUUGUUAAGUCAGUGGUGAAAGUUUGCGGCUCAACCGUAAAAUUGCAAUUGAUACUGGCAGUCUUGAGUACAGUUGAGGUAGGCGGAAUGCGUGGUGUAGCGGUGAAAUGCUUAGAUAUCACGAAGAACUCCGAUUGCGAAGGCAGCUUACUAAACUGCCACUGACAUUGAUGCUCGAAAGUGUGGGUAUCAAACAGGAUUAGAUACCCCUGUAGUC